RNAcentral lists this unclassified non-coding RNA (295 nucleotides) under uncultured fungus. RNAcentral's name for it is "partial contains 5.8S ribosomal RNA, internal transcribed spacer 2, and large subunit ribosomal RNA". The stretch from base 1 to 52 matches the Rfam family "5.8S ribosomal RNA", at positions 103 to 154 of the family's 154-position model. The record is from RNAcentral. Lineage: Eukaryota; Fungi.
AACGCACCUUGCGCUCCUUGGUAUUCCGAGGAGCAUGCCUGUUUGAGUGUCAUUAAAUUCUCAACCUCACCAACUUUGUGUUGUGUGAAGGCUUGGAUGUGGGGGUUUGCAGGUCCGCGUACGCGGUCUGCUCCUCUGAAAUGUAUUAGUGGGUUUGGUCCCCUAAUCUAUUGGUGUGAUAAUUAUCUACGCCGUGGAUUGGGAAGGCCGUCUAUAGACUCGCUUCUAACCGUCCUCACGGACAAUCAUUGACAAUUUUGACCUCAAAUCAGGUAAGACUACCCGCUGAACUUAA